Molecule: ribosomal RNA, 756 nt
Filed under: Klebsiella oxytoca
Lineage: Bacteria; Pseudomonadati; Pseudomonadota; Gammaproteobacteria; Enterobacterales; Enterobacteriaceae
Description: bacterial SSU rRNA
Rfam family: Bacterial small subunit ribosomal RNA
Source: RNAcentral
GGGGGGGGGGGACUACACAUGCAAGUCGAACGGUAGCACAGGGAGCUUGCUCUCGGGUGACGAGUGGCGGACGGGUGAGUAAUGUCUGGGAAACUGCCUGAUGGAGGGGGAUAACUACUGGAAACGGUAGCUAAUACCGCAUAACGUCGCAAGACCAAAGAGGGGGACCUUCGGGCCUCUUGCCAUCAGAUGUGCCCAGAUGGGAUUAGCUAGUAGGUGGGGUAACGGCUCACCUAGGCGACGAUCCCUAGCUGGUCUGAGAGGAUGACCAGCCACACUGGAACUGAGACACGGUCCAGACUCCUACGGGAGGCAGCAGUGGGGAAUAUUGCACAAUGGGCGCAAGCCUGAUGCAGCCAUGCCGCGUGUAUGAAGAAGGCCUUCGGGUUGUAAAGUACUUUCAGCGGGGAGGAAGGCGAUGAGGUUAAUAACCUUGUCGAUUGACGUUACCCGCAGAAGAAGCACCGGCUAACUCCGUGCCAGCAGCCGCGGUAAUACGGAGGGUGCAAGCGUUAAUCGGAAUUACUGGGCGUAAAGCGCACGCAGGCGGUCUGUCAAGUCGGAUGUGAAAUCCCCGGGCUCAACCUGGGAACUGCAUUCGAAACUGGCAGGCUAGAGUCUUGUAGAGGGGGGUAGAAUUCCAGGUGUAGCGGUGAAAUGCGUAGAGAUCUGGAGGAAUACCGGUGGCGAAGGCGGCCCCCUGGACAAAGACUGACGCUCAGGUGCGAAAGCGUGGGGAGCAAACAGGAUUAGAUA